Molecule: ribosomal RNA, 499 nt
Filed under: uncultured bacterium
Lineage: Bacteria
Description: partial 16S ribosomal RNA
Rfam family: Bacterial small subunit ribosomal RNA
Source: RNAcentral
GACGAACGCUGGCGGCGUGCCUAAUACAUGCAAGUCGAGCGGACUGAAUGGGAGCUUGCUCUUGUUCGGUCAGCGGCGGACGGGUGAGUAACACGUGGGCAACCUGCCCGCAAGACCGGGAUAACUCCGGGAAACCGGAGCUAAUGCCGGAUAACACCGAAGACCGCAUGGUCUUUGGUUGAAAGGCGGCGCAAGCUGCCACUUGCGGAUGGGCCCGCGGCGCAUUAGCUAGUUGGUGAGGUAACGGCUCACCAAGGCGACGAUGCGUAGCCGGCCUGAGAGGGUGACCGGCCACACUGGGACUGAGACACGGCCCAGACUCCUACGGGAGGCAGCAGUAGGGAAUCUUCCGCAAUGGGCGAAAGCCUGACGGAGCGACGCCGCGUGAGCGAAGAAGGCCUUCGGGUCGUAAAGCUCUGUUGUGAGGGACGAAGGAGCGCCGUUUGAAGAAGGCGGCGCGGUGACGGUACCUCACGAGGAAGCCCCGGCUAACUACGUG